UAGAGUGUGGUGUAACUUGGUAGCACGGGGAAUUUUGAGUUCUUAGGUGUAGGUUCGAGUCCUAUUGUUCUAG
This 73-nucleotide transfer RNA is filed under the name Platygonus compressus. RNAcentral describes it as "tRNA-Gln". It matches the Rfam family "tRNA". Rfam says of the family: Transfer RNA (tRNA) molecules are approximately 80 nucleotides in length. Their secondary structure includes four short double-helical elements and three loops (D, anti-codon, and T loops). Further hydrogen bonds mediate the characteristic L-shaped molecular structure. tRNAs have two regions of fundamental functional importance: the anti-codon, which is responsible for specific mRNA codon recognition, and the 3' end, to which the tRNAs corresponding amino acid is attached (by aminoacyl-tRNA synthetases). tRNAs cope with the degeneracy of the genetic code in two manners: having more than one tRNA (with a specific anti-codon) for a particular amino acid; and 'wobble' base-pairing, i.e. permitting non-standard base-pairing at the 3rd anti-codon position. The record is from RNAcentral. Lineage: Eukaryota; Metazoa; Chordata; Mammalia; Artiodactyla; Tayassuidae.